UUCCAGACUCCUACGGGAGGCAGCAGUAGGGAAUUUUCGUCAAUGGGCGCAAGCCUGAACGAGCAAUGCCGCGUGAACGAGGAAGGUCUUCGGAUCGUAAAGUUCUGUUGACGGGGAAAAAAGACCGGGAAAGGAAAUGAUCCCGGAGGAGAUAUUACCCGUCGAGGAAGUCACGGCUAACUACGUGCCAGCAGCCGCGGUAAUACGUAGGUGGCGAGCGUUAUCCGGAAUGAUUGGGCGUAAAGGGUGCGUAGGCGGUCGAUUAAGUCAGGUGUGAAAACUCCGGGCUCAACCUGGAGACUGCACUUGAAACUGGGUGUCUUGAGGGCAGGAGAGGAAAGUGGAAUUCCUAGUGUAGCGGUGAAAUGCGUAGAUAUUAGGAGGAACACCAGUGGCGAAGGCGACUUUCUGGACUGUACCUGACGCUGAGGCGCGAAAGCGUGGGUAGCGAACGGGAUUAGAUACCCCCGUA
This 472-nucleotide ribosomal RNA is filed under the name uncultured bacterium. RNAcentral's name for it is "partial 16S ribosomal RNA". It matches the Rfam family "Bacterial small subunit ribosomal RNA", at positions 329 to 792 of the family's 1533-position model. The record is from RNAcentral.